GUGGGGAAUAUUGCGCAAUGGGGGCAACCCUGACGCAGCAAUACCGCGUGAGUGAAGAAGGUUUUCGGAUCGUAAAGCUCUGUUAUUGGGGAAGAAAAAAGACGGUACCCAAGAAGAAAGUCCCGGCUAACUACGUGCCAGCAGCCGCGGUAAUACGUAGGGGACAAGCGUUGUCCGGAUUUACUGGGCGUAAAGGGCACGCAGGCGGUUUUUUAAGUCAGAUGUGAAAGGUACCGGCUCAACCGGUGACAUGCAUUUGAAACUGAAAGACUUGAGUAUUGGAGAGGCAAGUGGAAUUCCUAGUGUAGCGGUGAAAUGCGUAGAUAUUAGGAGGAACACCGGUGGCGAAGGCGGCUUGCUGGACAAAUACUGACGCUGAGGUGCGAAAGCGUGGGGAGCAAACAGGAUUAGAUACCCCAGUAGUCC
This 426-nucleotide ribosomal RNA is filed under the name uncultured bacterium. RNAcentral's name for it is "partial 16S ribosomal RNA". It matches the Rfam family "Bacterial small subunit ribosomal RNA", at positions 354 to 796 of the family's 1533-position model. The record is from RNAcentral.